Long non-coding RNA from Condylostylus longicornis, 2061 nucleotides. RefSeq lists it as uncharacterized. The transcript has 5 exons. NCBI's taxonomy places the organism in Eukaryota, Metazoa, Arthropoda, Insecta, Diptera, Dolichopodidae. The record is from RefSeq and is a predicted model, not a curated record.
UAAACAUUCAUGUUAUUUAUUACUGCAAAUUAUGAAAAUUGUAAAUUUCAGACAAGAAAAAAAAAAUUAAAACAAAAAUUCAUGUACGUAGGUAGAAAGCGAAAUUCUAAUUUUGCAAUGAAAAAUUCAAUCAGUAUAAAAUUCUACUAGGACUUGAUAGUCGAAAAGAAAUUCUAAAAGGAAUUUCCGUUUUUUUCGUAAAAAGAGAAAAAGUUAAUUGUAAAAUUUUCAUAUUUUUAAAAAUAUCAUAACUUAAAGUAAAUCUUAAAAAGUAGAAUUUCUUUGAAGAAAUCAGGUGAUGUUUUUUAUAUAAAAAUAUGAAUCAAAUUCCUAGUAUUAAUUAAAAUUUUUAUUAAAGCAUGAAUCACUUUAAUAAUAUUUAUAAACAUAGUUAUUAAUUAAUAAAACUUUUCAUUAAUAUUAUAAAAAGUUUUAUCAAUUUCUAGCGGCAAAAGUGAAAAUAUUUUAUAUUAAUAAUAUUUAUGAAUUUGUUUGUAAUAAUAACAUUUUGUAUUAAUAUUACGAAAAUUUUGAUUAAUUUCCAACGGGAUGCGCAGAAACAGCUCAUUUCUUGAAUAAUUUGGUUUAGUUUUGCUAUGUCAUUGAACAGCGGUAAACGUAAGUGAAACGUAAAAGUGAUCUAAAUUUUUUUUUAAAUAAAAAUAUAAAAUUUUGUUUAAAAUUUAAGAAAUAUAUUUAAAAUUUGUGUUUAAUUUUGGGAGAUAAUAAGUUAAAAAUAACAUAUUCAAUAAAAAACCCGCAAAAAAACUUCUUUGGCCUUUCUAAAAAAUUUACAUACAUAUUUGUGUUAUAUUUUUUUUUGCUGUUUUAUGAUUUACUUCAAAUGUAAAAAACAAUUGUGGUUUAUCUAACAAGCUUAGAUGAUGUCUAAAAAAAAUCAUGAACGAGGAUCUUCUGACAAUUACAGAUGAAUGGAAGAUAAUUGCUUCCAGGAUUUUUAAGGGAGUUUUAAACGACGUAUAAAAAGGAAACAGCAAAAUAUGACUAAAUUUCUUAAUGAAGCAAACCCUCAAAAAACAUUUCAAUCGCUCAAAAAAAUCUGGGAAGGUUUUAAAAUUUUCAAUGAACUUCAUUUUGGUGUCUCAUAGCAAUAACAACUUUUCUCGAAAAAGAAUUUAGUCAUUCAAGAAAAUGCAAAGAAGCGCGUGCUUACACUUGUUGCGGUUUCACAAAAGGUUAAAGUGAUAAUUUUAUGGCAAAUUCAAUUGAUUUGGCUCAAGGAUUUUGAAAUAGAAAUUGGGAAUCCCUUCACAGUCAGUAAAAGGAUUUUAUUUCAGCAACUAAUGGCACUUUAAAAACUCCUUAUGUUUAGAUAUACAUAUGCCUUCAGAGAAUUUAAGACACAGUCAAGAAAUCGGGGAUAUGCUAAAAAUAACACAACUGAAAUUGUCAUUGGAAGCAUAGAAAUCUAGAGCUGGCACAUCAUUUUAUAGUUUAAAAAAGUGGACACGUUUGACAGGAGUAGAAAGUACAUUGUCACUUGCAAUAUUUACAGCGGUCGCCCCAUUAUUUUCAUUAAGACCGGAAAAGGACUAUUUAAUUCAGUUUUAUAAUAAAAGGACAAAAUUUGGGAAGAACAAAGAAGAAUGCUGAGAAUGAUAAUGUUUUUAGAUCUCAAUAGAUUUUGAUACAAUGACGAAGAAAAACUGCUCAUUAUAAAAUAUCUUCAACUCUGUAUUUGGGAAACUGUUAAAAUUAUUAAUGACAGGAAAUAUACUUGGAGAAUUGAAAGUAAAAAUAAUACAUAUUAUAAACAAUUUCUAAUUGUUUAAAUGCAAACAGUAAAAAUGCUGUGGUCUCUUCAUCUUUAUUUAUAUAUGACGUAUAACUGAAAGGAAUAUUAUAACUUGAACGAAUCUGGAACAAAAGUAAGGGCAAAAUACAUAAUAAAAGACUCUGAAUAUACCCUUUCAUUGAAAAAAUCAUUGAAUGUGCAACCUUUCAUAGAUUAAAUUGAUGACAACUAAAUAUCUUCCCAACAACUUGUUAGACAUUUUGAUAGGUCAAGUGAUAUGACUUUUAAUUUAUAUAAAUAUAUAA